Molecule: long non-coding RNA, 652 nt
Organism: Dermacentor silvarum
Lineage: Eukaryota; Metazoa; Arthropoda; Arachnida; Ixodida; Ixodidae
Exons: 3
Source: RefSeq, a predicted model, not a curated record
GUGCGCGCGCGCGCGUUGCUGCUUUGCGAGCGUUUUGCUUGUGCGCGCGUGCGUGCGUUCGUGCGUGUUUUCUGAGUACUUUGCGUGUGUGCGUGCGCGCGCGCAUACGUGUUUUGUGAGCGCUUUGCGAGUGCGCGUGCUUGUAUGCGGGUCUCGAUGUGCUUGCACGUGCGUGCGUUCGUGCGUGCGUGUUUUGUGAGUGCUAUGUAUGUGCGUGCGCGCGCGCGUACGUGUUUUGUGAGCUUUUUGCGGGGGCGCGCGUGCUUGUGUGUGUGUGUGUGUGUUUGUGUAUUGAAUAAAGUCGGUAGUUUUACACAAAAUAAACCUCUUCAAAAUUGGUGCAGCGCCUGUCCCCGCCCUGAAAACCGAGUUUGGUGUCGAGCCACCCUGGAAGCCACCCUGGGUUAUAUAGAGGCGCCGGAAGACCAGUGGAAGGUGUCAUCCAGAUGACAGCCUCACAAUUCGCAGCCUUUGUGCUCUCCAUCAGAAACCCAUCUGGGGCAAGCCACUUAUGUUUGCCUUCAGACAAGACAACAUUGAAGCAGGAUUCCAGCACAGCCAUCUCCUGCACUUAUGCUCAAGAUGCACAGACAAUGGAGUCCCUGUUCCGUGUGGUUAACCGUGAACAGUAUUCUCGCUUUUAUGAAAGCUA